Molecule: long non-coding RNA, 220 nt
Filed under: Lathyrus oleraceus (garden pea)
Lineage: Eukaryota; Viridiplantae; Streptophyta; Magnoliopsida; Fabales; Fabaceae
Description: Pisum sativum (pea) long non-coding RNA (PSAT_LNC009164)
Source: RNAcentral
GAGGACACUUGAGCGUAUCUUGUCCAUGUAUCCCCUGGGGGCAUUUUGUUGUGCUGUUUUUCAGGUUGGCAUCCGUGAGGACGUUUCCUCAGCAGAUAUUUUCCCCAAGCAAGUAUGGAAGCUAUCAGAGCUAUGUUCCCCUGCGGAGACGUCUGUGGAUAGUGCCUUCUAUUCCCCAACAGAUCUAAGGAUUUCCUAUCCCCCAGCAGGCCUGUAUUUG